AAAAUAAUCCUACCCUUUGUGAAUUUGUUUGUUUGAAUAAUUUUUUUUUUUAAAAAUUAUUGGAGUCUUUCCCUUUAGAGUUUGCUUUUGAGUUUGUAAAAGAAUUCGAAAACAUCUAAAGGGGAUGGUCAAUAAUUUUUUUUAAAAAAGACAUUUUUUAAAAUUGAACUUUUUGUACUCAUUUGUCUAAAAAUUAUUUUUAUAAUAUAAAAACAACUUUUGACAAUGGAUCUCUUGGUUCUCGCAACGAUGAAGAACGCAGCAAAAUGCGAUAAGUAGUGUGAAUUGCAGAAUACGUGAAUCAUCGAAUCUUUGAACGCAUAUUGCACUUUUUUAGUUUACUAAAAAAGUAUGUCUGUUUGAGUAUCAGUAAAAUAUUCUCAUAAAAAUCAUUGUGUAUUUUUAUGGUUAUGAGUGUUUUACAACGAUACAAGUUGUUUCACUUUAAAUUUUUUUUUAAUAUUGAGAUUUUUCUAAUUUUAAUAAUUAAAAUUGGAUAAAAUUUUCCCGUCAAAAGGAAUAACCUAAACAAUUUUAAAUGAUUAAUUUUAGCAAAAUUUUCGAAAAAAGGAAAAUUUUUAUUAAAAUAACUUGAUCUCAAAUCAGAUAAGAGUACCCGCUGAACUUAAGCAUAUCAAUAAGCGGAGGAAAAGAAACUAACAAGGAUUCCCUUAGUAACGGCGAGUGAAGCGGAAGAGCUCAAAUUUGAAAUCUUCAAGGUUUUACCUUGACGAAUUGUAGUUUAAAGAAGUGUUUUCUGCUGAAGUUUUGGUAAAGUUCUUUGGAAUAGGACAUCAUAGAGGGUGAGAAUCCCGUAUUUGACCAUUAUUUCAGCCUUGUGAUACACUUUCAAAGAGUCGGAUUGUUUGGGAAUGCAGUCCAAAAUGGGUGGUAAGUUUCAUCUAAAGCUAAAUAUUGGCGAGAGACCGAUAGCGAACAAGUACCGUGAGGGAAAGAUGAAAAGAACUUUGAAAAGAGAGUUAAACAGUACGUGAAAUUGUCAAAAGGGAAGCGUUUGACACCAGUGUUGUUUUCUCGAAAAUCAAUUAAAAAUGGCUCGAUUUUGUAUUGCUUGAGACCUUAAAAGCUCACUGUACAUUUUUCGUGUCUUUUUUAAUGCACUUUUCGUUUAACAAGUCAACAUCAGUUUCUUUGUUGUAAAAGGGUCAUUGGAAGGUGGCUUUCUUUUCGGAGAAAGUGUUUAUAGCCUUUGGCCUCUGCAAUCGGAGAGACUGAGGUCUGCAGCGUAGACUCUUCGGGGUUAGAUACAUUUGUGCUAAGUUAUAGCUUUUUAUAGACAACUUGUUGACUAUAAUUAGUCUUGUAGCUUACUCGCUUAUGCUAUUUUACCUACGCUUAGGAUG
RNAcentral lists this unclassified non-coding RNA (1364 nucleotides) under uncultured Neocallimastigales. RNAcentral describes it as "partial contains internal transcribed spacer 1, 5.8S ribosomal RNA, internal transcribed spacer 2, and large subunit ribosomal RNA". The stretch from base 593 to 1364 matches the Rfam family "Eukaryotic large subunit ribosomal RNA", at positions 1 to 634 of the family's 3401-position model. The record is from RNAcentral. Lineage: Eukaryota; Fungi; Neocallimastigomycota; Neocallimastigomycetes; Neocallimastigales.